ACAGGCAGAUGUCAUUUUACUGAUUAGAUUUUAUAAAACCAAUACAAUAUCAGGAAGUGUGCAUUGUUCUCUGCUGGGAUUCUCUGAGUGAAGCUGGCAUAGCUGAAGUUGGACCAAUUCUUGUGGAUUCCCUCCUGCAGCAUGCAUACCAUAUGAAAGUGGAACAAAUGCAUUUCUGCUUGUUGUGGCCAUAUCUGUUGUACCAAAGACCUGGGACAUCAAGCCUCAUUGUUAAGCAAUCUGUGCUUUCUAUUAUUGCACUUCAUGGCCUAAGUGAAUAUAAGUCUCUUGUAAUUUUUGGGGAUGCCAUACAUGAAUAUUAACUAAUUAAUCUGGGCUAAUUUUUUGCAUAGUUGUGUGUGUUCUUGGUGAAUGAGAUUUACCUUCUUGUAAAGUUCCACAUUUUCCUGAAAGAUCAGGUUCCCCUGUAUGUGAAAAAGAAAAGGCCAGUCAGUGUUAUAAAAUUUGAUAGAGGAAAAUUAGCAAAGGUUAUUGCUCAAGAAGACCUUUCGGUUCA
Molecule: long non-coding RNA, 517 nt
Organism: Glycine soja
Lineage: Eukaryota; Viridiplantae; Streptophyta; Magnoliopsida; Fabales; Fabaceae
Exons: 2
Source: RefSeq, a predicted model, not a curated record